AUUGAACGCUGGCGGCAUGCCUUACACAUGCAAGUCGAACGGCAGCACGGGGGCAACCCUGGUGGCGAGUGGCGAACGGGUGAGUAAUACAUCGGAACGUGCCCAGUAGUGGGGGAUAGCCCGGCGAAAGCCGGAUUAAUACCGCAUACGACCUACGGGUGAAAGCGGGGGAUCGCAAGACCUCGUGCUACCGGAGCGGCCGAUGUCAGAUUAGGUUGUUGGUGGGGUAAAAGCCUACCAAGCCGACGAUCUGUAGCUGGUCUGAGAGGACGACCAGCCACACUGGGACUGAGACACGGCCCAGACUCCUACGGGAGACAGCAGUGGGGAAUUUUGGACAAUGGGCGCAAGCCUGAUCCAGCCAUGCCGCGUGAGUGAAGAAGGCCU
Molecule: ribosomal RNA, 387 nt
Filed under: uncultured bacterium
Lineage: Bacteria
Description: bacterial SSU rRNA
Rfam family: Bacterial small subunit ribosomal RNA
Source: RNAcentral